GAUGAGCGCUGGCGGCGUGCCUAAUACAUGCAAGUCGAGCGAACAGACGAGGAGCUUGCUCCUCUGACGUUAGCGGCGGACGGGUGAGUAACACGUGGAUAACCUACCUAUAAGACUGGGAUAACUUCGGGAAACCGGAGCUAAUACCGGAUAAUAUAUUGAACCGCAUGGUUCAAUAGUGAAAGACGGUUUUGCUGUCACUUAUAGAUGGAUCCGCGCCGCAUUAGCUAGUUGGUAAGGUAACGGCUUACCAAGGCGACGAUGCGUAGCCGACCUGAGAGCGUGAUCGGCCACACUGGAACUGAGACACGGUCCAGACUCCUACGGGAGGCAGCAGUAGGGAAUCUUCCGCAAUGGGCGAAAGCCUGACGGAGCAACGCCGCGUGAGUGAUGAAGGUCUUCGGAUCGUAAAACUCUGUUAUUAGGGAAGAACAAAUGUGUAAGUAACUAUGCACGUCUUGACGGUACCUAAUCAGAAAGCCACGGCUAACUACGUG
This 497-nucleotide ribosomal RNA is filed under the name uncultured bacterium. RNAcentral describes it as "partial 16S ribosomal RNA". It matches the Rfam family "Bacterial small subunit ribosomal RNA", at positions 28 to 507 of the family's 1533-position model. The record is from RNAcentral.